GGCGCACGGGUGCGUAACACGUAUGCAACUUACCCUUUACUGGGGCAUAGCUCAGAGAAAUCUGAAUUAAUUCCCCAUAACGCUAUUGAGUCGCAUGACUCGAUAGCUAAAGUUCCGGCGGUAAAGGAUAGGCAUGCGCUGUAUUAGCUAGUUGGUGAGGUAAUGGCUCACCAAGGCUACGAUACAUAGGGGUUCUGAGAGGAUGAUCCCCCACACUGGUACUGAGACACGGACCAGACUCCUACGGGAGGCAGCAGUAGGGAAUAUUGGUCAAUGGACGCAAGUCUGAACCAGCCAUGCCGCGUGCAGGAUGACGGCCCUCUGGGUUGUAAACUGCUUUUAUAUGGGAAGAAACCCCGGGAUGCGUUCCGGGCUGACGGUACCAUACGAAUAAGGAUCGGCUAACUUCGUGCCAGCAGCCGCGGUAAGACGAAGGAUCCAAGCGUUGUCCGGAUUUACUGGGUUUAAAGGGUGCGUAGGCGGAUGCUUAAGCCAGUGGUGAAAUCUCUCAGCUCAACUGAGAAACUGCCAUUGGAACUGGGUAUCUUGAAUUCGAUUGAGGUAGAUGGAAUAUAACAUGUAGCGGUGAAAUGCUUAGAUAUGUUAUGGAACACCGAUUGCGAAGGCAGUCUACUAAGUCGACAUUGACGCUGAGGCACGAAAGCGUGGGUAGCGAACAGGAUUAGAUACCCUGGUAGUCCACGCCCUAAACGUUGAUUACUCGCUGUUGGCGAUACACUGUCAGCGGCUAAGCGAAAGCGUUAAGUAAUCCACCUGGGAAGUACGACCGCAAGGUUGAAACUCAAAGGAAUUGACGGGGGCCCGCACAAGAGUGGCGGACGGGUGAGUAACGCGUGAGAAUCUGCCCUCAGGAGGGGGAUAACGGUUGGAAACGACCGCUAAUACCCCAUAUGCCGAGAGGUGAAAUGAAAUUCGCCUGAGGAUGAGCUCGCGUCUGAUUAGCUAGUUGGUAGGGUAAAGGUCUACCAAGGCAUUGAUCAGUAGCUGGUCUGAGAGGAUGAUCAGCCACACUGGGACUGAGACACGGUCCAGGUUCCUACGGGAGGCAGCAGUAGGGAAUUUUCCGCAAUGGGCGAAAGCCUGACGGAGCAAUACCGCGUGAGGGAUGAAUGCCUAUGGGUUGUAAACCUCUUUUUUCAGGGAGGAAAACAAUUGACGUUUACCUGAAGAAUAAGCAUCGGCUAACUCCGUGCCAGCAGCCGCGGUAAGACGGAGGAUGCAAGUGUUAUCCGGAAUCACUGGGCGUAAAGCGUCUGUAGGUUGUUUAAUAAGUCAACUGUUAAAUCUUGAGGCUCAACCUCAAAAUCGCAGUCGAAACUAUUAGACUAGAGUAUAGUAGGGGUAAAGGGAAUUUCCAGUGGAGCGGUGAAAUGCGUAGAGAUUGGAAAGAACACCGAUGGCGAAGGCACUUUACUGGGCUAUUACUGACACUCAGAGACGAAAGCUAGGGUAGCAAAUGGGAUUAGAUACCCCAGUAGUCCUAGCCGUAAACUAUGGAUACUAGAUGUUGAACAGAUCGACCUGUGCAGUAUCAAAGCUAACGCGUUAAGUAUCCCGCCUGGGAAGUAUGCUCGCAAGGGUGAAACUCAAAGGAAUUGACGGGGGCUCGCACAAG
RNAcentral lists this ribosomal RNA (1636 nucleotides) under uncultured bacterium. RNAcentral describes it as "bacterial SSU rRNA". The stretch from base 1 to 913 matches the Rfam family "Bacterial small subunit ribosomal RNA". The record is from RNAcentral.